ACUAGUAUUUAACGUAUCAGGGUCCAGCAACAAAAAACCCCGACUUUCGGGGUUUUUUGUUAUCUGAAUUUCUGCACGUUCGGAAUUCAGGUGUUGCUUGGAAUUGAAAUUGGGCUCUGAGCCCUUUUUUU
Regulatory RNA element from Vibrio proteolyticus NBRC 13287, 131 nucleotides. It matches the Rfam family "Gammaprotebacteria rimP leader". Lineage: Bacteria; Pseudomonadati; Pseudomonadota; Gammaproteobacteria; Vibrionales; Vibrionaceae. The record is from Rfam.